RNAcentral lists this ribosomal RNA (252 nucleotides) under uncultured Ruminococcus sp. Its description in RNAcentral is "partial 16S ribosomal RNA". It matches the Rfam family "Bacterial small subunit ribosomal RNA", at positions 524 to 776 of the family's 1533-position model. Lineage: Bacteria; Bacillati; Bacillota; Clostridia; Eubacteriales; Oscillospiraceae. The record is from RNAcentral.
UACGUAGGGAGCAAGCGUUGUCCGGAAUUACUGGGUGUAAAGGGAGCGUAGGCGGGGAUGCAAGUUGGGUGUCAAAACUACCGGCUCAACCGAUAGUCGCACUCAAAACUGCAGCUCUUGAGUGAAGUAGAGGCAGGCGGAAUUCCUAGUGUAGCGGUGAAAUGCAUAGAUAUCACGAAGAACUCCGAUUGCGAAGGCAGCUCACUGGACUGCAACUGACACUGAGGCUCGAAAGUGUGGGUAUCAAACAGG